This 506-nucleotide long non-coding RNA is filed under the name Dromaius novaehollandiae (emu). Its description in RNAcentral is "lncRNA (ENSDNVG00000007710.1)". Lineage: Eukaryota; Metazoa; Chordata; Aves; Casuariiformes; Dromaiidae. The record is from RNAcentral.
GUUCCUUUCCUUUGUUUUUGAAACAAUCUUUUGAUUUCCUAGGCUUUCCUUUCAUGACAUUUAGGAGAAAAGGAAACUGCUGUUGAAUACGGGAUGCCUGGGAUUUCUGUUUUAUAUUAGACUUUUUAAAUAUUUGAACUCUGCUUCAGGACGGAACAAAUUAGAGUUGAAACUGCAGGGUGGGACUCGUUCUUGAGCUUCCACCACUUCCAGAAAUCCAGGGAACCUUUGGGAGGAUAAGUGCCAGCACUAAGAAAAUGGAGGGGAAAUAUAGAGGGACAUCGGAGAGGGAAGGGAGAAAGCACCUGGAAAGGACCACAGCAGAAUGUGGACUUCAUCCCACAGUCUUACACUGAAGGAAAAAGAGCUACAAAGAAUAAUGAUCCAUGAAUUCUAGAGAGGGACACAUGACCUGCCGCAAAUGCAAGGAGAGAGAAACCUGCUGCAGCGCCAGUGGUGGAUGUGUCCUGCUGAGUCUGAUUGAUGGCGACAUAAAGAGUUUUUGA